This is a long non-coding RNA of Vespa velutina, 2425 nucleotides long. RefSeq lists it as uncharacterized. The transcript is spliced from 4 exons. Lineage: Eukaryota; Metazoa; Arthropoda; Insecta; Hymenoptera; Vespidae. The record is from RefSeq and is a predicted model, not a curated record.
UAUAUAUAUAUAUGUAUGUAUACUUAUCACAUCCUUUUUACGUAAUAAGGAGACUCGUCAAGAGUAUUAGCUGAAACGCGGCCAUAGUUGAGCAACGAGGAAGGCCGUUAUAUCGUAACGGCCACUGGUGUGUGCAGUACGGAAUGUGGAAUCGCGGAUGAAAAAACGUGUCACGAAUCCUUGACCUCCUCUCGUAUACACAAGGUGCUAGCUUAGGAGAGCACUUGGGCGAUCAACCACAAGAAAGAUGGCUACCUAAAUACUCUUAGAUUCUUCAAUCUCUUUUUUCGCGUAUAAUAGAAUUUCUUAGAAAAUGUAAAAUGUAAGAAAAAUAAAUGUAAUCGGCAUAUUACAUUUAAAAGUUAAAAGAUACUCGAAUCUUAUAUGAGAAGUUGCGAAUAACCGGCUGAACUCUGGCAUGCCAGGCUAGACGAUCCUUGACCUUCUGCCGCAUACCAAAGAAAUUCUGAAACAACGUUGUCUCUUACGCACGAAUGUAGAAAUUUCUUUUUAUUCUCAUCGCAAUGAGUACAACGACCGCCCACUACAAUUGCGAACGCAAGGAACCUCGUUGACAAUCGAUUUGGAAAAUGAAGCAACAGACUUGGCGCGUUUGUCUUUCGAUAUAAUCGAUUUCCAUCACUUUGAAGUCUUCUUGACUGUGCUUCUACGAUAAGACUAGAAGGAAAGUAUGUUCGAUCGCAUAUUACUUGAAGGAAAAGAGAAAGAGAGAGAGAGAGAGAGAGAGAGAGAAAGCUCUUCCAUCUUCUACGUAUGCUGUUACGUACUGUAUAAUGUGUAUUGUGAACAACGAGGUGAAGAUGUCAUCUAUUAGCAUGAUAUGUUGCAGGUUAACUUAUGGAAAGAUAUGACCGCUCCAAUGCCUUCUGAAAUUGAAUUACACGCAUGGUGAUCCACGUGAAAGAGGUGGCUACCUGUGCAUGCAGAAUGAGGACAUGUUAAGGCACUAUUUGUAUUACAUGUAACCUGGAGAAUGUUUGGUUGGAUGCCAAGGAAAAAAAAAACUUCUUUGUUCUUUAUAAAAUAUCUAUAUAUACAAGAGUAUAACAUAGUAUAAUAGUUCUUGUCAAAUCAGAUGUCUAAAUAGUAGACGUUUAAUUAAAUCGAUAUGAUUACACGUGUUGUAUAUUAUCCGAUUGGAAAGACAGUUUCUUUACAAUUUGAAAAUAAUAUAUUUUAUAAACAUGUUGCAUCCUGUGAGCCACGCGAGUAUGUAACAGCCUAAUGGAAAGAUGUAUGGAGAAUGCGUGACAAGAAUCCAUGGCCUAUACAGACAGAUCUGUUUAGCUUCCGGUGUUUAUCGUAUCCUAACAAGCUUUGUAGUACUCAGCCUUACAGAUAAGGACAGCUCGUGAAUGAUGCACCUCCCUUUCCUCUCCACACGUUACCUUUUAUGGAUGUUUUACGAUAUACGUUCACAAGUGUACGCGUGCUGGGCGUCAAAUGAAUGAAUUUCCAUGUGGUACUACGUAAUCGUAUAUCCUAAGUAUUCAAAUGAAAGAAUAAAAUAAUUUCCUCUUUGUAUAAAAUUAACGACUUGGUAAGAAAAAAAAAAAGAAAUAAAAAUAAAAAAGAAAGAAAGACAGAAAAAAAGAAAAAUAAAGAUAAAAAUUUUUUUUUCAAUCAUCACCAACGAUAAGACGAACGAUUCAAUGUAAAAUCGUGUUUAUAUUUGAGCCAAUUACCGAAUGAAAUAGAAUUUAAUUAAAUAAGCUCUUCGAAGCUUUUUCCUUUAAGUCUACCAAUUCCAUUUCCUCUUAUUGUUAUAUCUUUUUUUUUUGUUUUGCUGUUUUGAUAAUCAACGUCUAUGGUGCAAUAAUGAUAGGAUGACGACGACGACGACGACGACGACGACGACGACGACGAUGACGACGACGGCAACAAUAACUCGUAUGAAAGUAUGAAUACAUUGCAGUCCUAUGCAAAUGAAACUAUGUUGCACAUACCGAGACAUCGAUCGCGAUCGGGUAACGGUUUACCUGCAUGCAAUACGAACAUAGUGGAGUAUCGAUCAGUUCCCUUUCAUAAAGUACGCAUUACGUGCUUGGAAAACCGUUCGUUGUAUAAACUACUAACGUAUAACACGAUACGAUCCAUUCUUAAUACAAUUGUAAAUACAAACAAGAUGGAAAUGAAUCAACUUGACUGGAUGAAGCCAAAUGUCUGAUUUCCGCUUUGAACAUGUGCACAAGAAUUAAACGUGUUCGAUUUUUUAAUGUUUAUGUCAUAUGUAAUCAGAGCAUAAAUAUUUUUAUAAUUAGUUAUAUUAUAGAAUCAUGAAGUUAAGAAUACGAAUUUAAGAAGUUGUAUGUUAGUCUGACUUCUAUAAUAAAUGUAAUAAAUAAGAUUAUUAUAAAGAAAUUAUAAUUAAAUAAAUAAUUAUGUAUAUACAUAUAUCUUUACA